UUAAGGGCGCACGGUGGAUGCCUUGGCACUAGAAGCCGAUGAAGGACGUUACUAACGACGAUAUGCUUUGGGGAGCUGUAAGUAAGCUUUGAUCCAGAGAUUUCCGAAUGGGGAAACCCAGCAUGAGUUAUGUCAUGUUAUCGAUAUGUGAAUACAUAGCAUAUCAGAAGGCACACCCGGAGAACUGAAACAUCUUAGUACCCGGAGGAAGAGAAAGAAAAUUCGAUYCCCUUAGUAGCGGCGAGCGAAACGGGAAGAGCCCAAACCAACAAGCUUGCUUGUUGGGGUUGUAGGACACUCUAUACGGAGUUACAAAGGACGACAUUAGACGAAUCAUCUGGAAAGAUGAAUCAAAGAAGGUAAUAAUCCUGUAGUCGAAAAUGUUGUCUCUCUUGAGUGGAUCCUGAGUACGACGGAGCACGUGAAAUUCCGUCGGAAUCUGGGAGGACCAUCUCCUAAGGCUAAAUACUCUCUAGUGACCGAUAGUGAACCAGUACCGUGAGGGAAAGGUGAAAAGCACCCCGGAAGGGGAGUGAAAUAGAACCUGAAACCGUGUGCUUACAAGUAGUCAGAGCCCGUUAAUGGGUGAUGGCGUGCCUUUUGUAGAAUGAACCGGCGAGUUACGAUUUGAUGCAAGGUUAAGCAGUAAAUGUGGAGCCGUAGCGAAAGCGAGUCUGAAUAGGGCGUUUAGUAUUUGGUCGUAGACCCGAAACCAGGUGAUCUACCCUUGGUCAGGUUGAAGUUCAGGUAACACUGAAUGGAGGACCGAACCGACUUACGUUGAAAAGUGAGCGGAUGAACUGAGGGUAGCGGAGAAAUUCCAAUCGAACCUGGAGAUAGCUGGUUCUCUCCGAAAUAGCUUUAGGGCUAGCCUCAAGUGAUGAUUAUUGGAGGUAGAGCACUGUUUGGACGAGGGGCCCCUCUCGGGUUACCGAAUUCAGACAAACUCCGAAUGCCAAUUAAUUUAACUUGGGAGUCAGAACAUGGGUGAUAAGGUCCGUGUUCGAAAGGGAAACAGCCCAGACCACCAGCUAAGGUCCCAAAAUAUAUGUUAAGUGGAAAAGGAUGUGGCGUUGCCCAGACAACUAGGAUGUUGGCUUAGAAGCAGCCAUCAUUUAAAGAGUGCGUAAUAGCUCACUAGUCGAGUGACACUGCGCCGAAAAUGUACCGGGGCUAAACAUAUUACCGAAGCUGUGGAUUGUCCUUUGGACAAUGGUAGGAGAGCGUUCUAAGGGCGUUGAAGCAUGAUCGUAAGRACAUGUGGAGCGCUUAGAAGUGAGAAUGCCGGUGUGAGUAGCGAAAGACGGGUGAGAAUCCCGUCCACCGAUUGACUAAGGUUUCCAGAGGAAGGCUCGUCCGCUCUGGGUUAGUCGGGUCCUAAGCUGAGGCCGACAGGCGUAGGCGAUGGAUAACAGGUUGAUAUUCCUGUACCACCUAUAAUCGUUUUAAUCGAUGGGGGGACGCAGUAGGAUAGGCGAAGCGUGCGAUUGGAUUGCACGUCUAAGCAGUAAGGCUGAGUAUUAGGCAAAUCCGGUACUCGUUAAGGCUGAGCUGUGAUGGGGAGAAGACAUUGUGUCUUCGAGUCGUUGAUUUCACACUGCCGAGAAAAGCCUCUAGAUAGAAAAUAGGUGCCCGUACCGCAAACCGACACAGGUAGUCAAGAUGAGAAUUCUAAGGUGAGCGAGCGAACUCUCGUUAAGGAACUCGGCAAAAUGACCCCGUAACUUCGGGAGAAGGGGUGCUCUUUAGGGUUAACGCCCAGAAGAGCCGCAGUGAAUAGGCCCAAGCGACUGUUUAUCAAAAACACAGGUCUCUGCUAAACCGUAAGGUGAUGUAUAGGGGCUGACGCCUGCCCGGUGCUGGAAGGUUAAGAGGAGUGGUUAGCUUCUGCGAAGCUACGAAUCGAAGCCCCAGUAAACGGCGGCCGUAACUAUAACGGUCCUAAGGUAGCGAAAUUCCUUGUCGGGUAAGUUCCGACCCGCACGAAAGGCGUAACGAUUUGGGCACUGUCUCAACGAGAGACUCGGUGAAAUCAUAGUACCUGUGAAGAUGCAGGUUACCCGCGACAGGACGGAAAGACCCCGUGGAGCUUUACUGUAGCCUGAUAUUGAAAUUCGGCACAGCUUGUACAGGAUAGGUAGGAGCCUUUGAAACGUGAGCGCUAGCUUACGUGGAGGCGCUGGUGGGAUACUACCCUAGCUGUGUUGGCUUUCUAACCCGCACCACUUAUCGUGGUGGGAGACAGUGUCAGGCGGGCAGUUUGACUGGGGCGGUCGCCUCCUAAAAGGUAACGGAGGCGCUCAAAGGUUCCCUCAGAAUGGUUGGAAAUCAUUCAUAGAGUGUAAAGGCAUAAGGGAGCUUGACUGCGAGACCUACAAGUCGAGCAGGGUCGAAAGACGGACUUAGUGAUCCGGUGGUUCCGCAUGGAAGGGCCAUCGCUCAACGGAUAAAAGCUACCCCGGGGAUAACAGGCUUAUCUCCCCCAAGAGUUCACAUCGACGGGGAGGUUUGGCACCUCGAUGUCGGCUCAUCGCAUCCUGGGGCUGUAGUCGGUCCCAAGGGUUGGGCUGUUCGCCCAUUAAAGCGGUACGCGAGCUGGGUUCAGAACGUCGUGAGACAGUUCGGUCCCUAUCCGUCGUGGGCGUAGGAAAUUUGAGAGGAGCUGUCCUUAGUACGAGAGGACCGGGAUGGACAUACCUCUGGUGUACCAGUUGUCGUGCCAACGGCAUAGCUGGGUAGCUAUGUGUGGACGGGAUAAGUGCUGAAAGCAUCUAAGCAUGAAGCCCCCCUCAAGAUGAGAUUUCCCAACUUCGGUUAUAAGAUCCCUCAAAGAUGAUGAGGUUAAUAGGUUCGAGGUGGAAGCAUGGUGACAUGUGGAGCUGACGAAUACUAAUCGAUCGAAGACUUAAUC
This 2911-nucleotide ribosomal RNA is filed under the name Staphylococcus aureus. RNAcentral describes it as "bacterial LSU rRNA". Lineage: Bacteria; Bacillati; Bacillota; Bacilli; Caryophanales; Staphylococcaceae. The record is from RNAcentral.